ACAAGCGGUGGAGCAUGUGGUUUAAUUCGAUGCAACGCGAAGAACCUUACCUAGGUUUGACAUCCGGAAGACCUUCCCGAAAAGGAAGGGUGCCCUUCGGGGAAUUCCGAGACAGGUGCUGCAUGGCUGUCGUCAGCUCGUGCCGUGAGGUGUGGGUUAAGUCCCGCAACGAGCGCAACCCUAUUGCCAGUUGCUACCAGGUAAUGCUGGGCACUCUGGUGAGACUGCCCCGGUUAACGGGGAGGAAGGUGGGGACAACGUCAAGUCAUCAUGGCCCUUACGCCUAGGGCUACACACGUACUACAAUGGCGCAUACAAAGGGCAGCGAUACCGCGAGGUGGAGCCAAUCCCAAAAAGUGCGUCCCAGUCCGGAUUGCAGUCUGCAACUCGACUGCAUGAAGUUGGAAUCGCUAGUAAUUCGAGAUCAGCAUGCUCGGGUGAAUGCGUUCCCGGGCCUU
This 458-nucleotide ribosomal RNA is filed under the name uncultured Desulfovibrio sp. RNAcentral's name for it is "bacterial SSU rRNA". It matches the Rfam family "Bacterial small subunit ribosomal RNA", at positions 925 to 1382 of the family's 1533-position model. Lineage: Bacteria; Pseudomonadati; Thermodesulfobacteriota; Desulfovibrionia; Desulfovibrionales; Desulfovibrionaceae. The record is from RNAcentral.